CGAGUGAGCGGGAAAGCUCAAAUUUGAAAUCUGGUAGCCUCAGGCUGCCCGAGUUGUAAUCUAUAGAAACGUUUUCCGCGCUGGCCCAUGUACAAGUCUCCUGGAAUGGAGCGUCAUAGAGGGUGAGAAUCCCGUCCUUGACAUGGACUACCAGUGCUUUGUGAUACGUUUUCAAAGAGUCGAGUUGUUUGGGAAUGCAGCUCAAAAUGGGUGGUAAAUUCCAUCUAAAGCUAAAUAUUGGCGAGAGACCGAUAGCGAACAAGUACCGUGAGGGAAAGAUGAAAAGCACUUUGGAAAGAGAGUUAAACAGUAUGUGAAAUUGUUGAAAGGGAAACGAUUGAAGUCAGUCAUGUCUAUUGGACUCAGCCGGUUCUGCCGGUGUACUUCCUUUAGAUGGGGUCAACAUCAGUUUUGAUCGCUGGAAAAGGGCAGGAGGAAUGUAGCACUCUCGGGUGAACUUAUAGCCUCCUGUCGUAUACAGUGGUUGGGACUGAGGAACGCAGCAUGCCUUUAUGGCCGGGGUUCGCCCACGUACAUGCUUAGGAUGUUGACAUAAUGGCUUUAAACGACCCGUCUUGAAACACGGACC
Molecule: ribosomal RNA, 589 nt
Filed under: Monosporozyma servazzii
Lineage: Eukaryota; Fungi; Ascomycota; Saccharomycetes; Saccharomycetales; Saccharomycetaceae
Description: Kazachstania servazzii partial large subunit ribosomal RNA
Rfam family: Eukaryotic large subunit ribosomal RNA
Source: RNAcentral